Long non-coding RNA from Tyto alba (common barn owl), 514 nucleotides. RefSeq lists it as uncharacterized. The record is from RefSeq and is a predicted model, not a curated record. Lineage: Eukaryota; Metazoa; Chordata; Aves; Strigiformes; Tytonidae. The transcript is spliced from 5 exons.
GGCAGGAGUGGGGUGGAGUGUUGCUGUGGUGUCCUUGUGUUUGGGAUCUCUAGCUGGGAGCAGGCAGGUGUUGGUCAGCAGUGGGUGGAGCUGGGCUGUCUCCUUAGCACUGCAUGAAGCAUAAGGAAAAAAAAAUCAAGAGGAGUUUUUUGUAGUAGAGAAGAAAAAAAUAAACAACUUCCAGGUGAAAGCAGAAAGAGACAAACUGGCCAGAUAAAAAACCAUAAAACAGAUGGGUCCUUCUCAAUACAAAUAAAUUUUUGGAGGGAGGAAGCAGGAGGAUGGAAAGUGCUAUAAAUCUAAUGGAAAUCCACUGACUGCCCCGGACUUUCUCCGAAUUCUUGCUGGAAAGGUUUUGAGAAACAGAAAAUGGAAACGUGUGGAAGAAAUUAACAGGCUGACAUGAACCUGGCAAUGAACAAGCAUCAACUACAUAGUACCAGCAGGAGCACUCAGCCUGACAAUAUCUGUUUGCUGUCAGUCACAUAAAUAAACUGAAAUGUUAUUGCACUUG